UGCUGAGACUUUCCCACUGGCUUGUGUUCUGUGAUCAUGGCUGCAGCCGACCACACCAGCCAUGUUUGCUAAUUUAAAACCCAAAGGUUAGAUAAUAGUUGUUUAUUAUUUAUCGUUGUGCCAUCUUCCCACAUUCAUCCUGCAGUGUGAAGCCGCGAGGCAUCAGAGCCUGUACACAUCCGAGGAAGUAAAGAUGGAGGCAAAUAACCAUUUCAACUAUGGCACACAACCCGCAGCAUCAACCAACUCAGGAUUGAAACGAUCCUCAGGGGACUCUCUCUAUACUAACGGGUCCUCCAUGAGCUUCCCCCAGCAGGGAAAGAAUAUGAAUGGCGAAAUGAAUGUGAACGGCGUGACUACUGUACUCGGGUCCAGUGUGCCUGGCUCCCAUCCACCAACAACACCGUACCCCCACAUGAGCAACCACCAGAGCAGCGUGGGCUACGACUACCUAUGGGGUGGCCAGGCUCAAUACAGCUCAGCCAUGGGUCCAUCCCCUGGCCAUGGGAUGCACCAGAAGCAGCCCCCCUCCGGCAUGAUGCAGCCUCAGUCACAGCACCACUACCAGGGACAUGGACAGUACCAGCUCAAUGGGGGCAUGGGAAGCUCCCACCAGCCCCCAGUGGCAGGCUCACCGAACAUGUCCUCACCUGGCGGUCAGUACUGGAAUAGGGGUAACCCAGGCCCACAGCAGAUGGGCUUCAACUCCCCCAGUGUGUAUGGGAGCUACCAGAGCCAUGUGCACCCUGGGCUUUCCUCGUCACUGCAUCACCAGCAGCAGCAGCAGUCUUUACAGUCACCCGCGCAUCAGCCAUCUCAACAACAUCUCCACUCUCAGCAUCACCCACAGCAUCACCACCAGCAGCAGCAGUCUCAGCAUUACAGCAUGAUGCCCAACGGGAUGCCCUAUUACCAGCCCCAUCACCCUGCCCUACCCGCUCCCCAGCCACAGCCGACCACACCGUCUCAGCCCCAAAGCCAGUCUCCAAUGAUUCCUCCAGCGCCACAGAACUUCACUCCUCCCCGUGGCAGCCCGCAGCACCAUAAUAUAGGCAGAGGGGGGACCAGUAGCCCCCUGCCGGUAUCCUCUGUGUCUAUGCUGUCACCCUCAAGCGCACAGGAUGGUAGUUCACCCCAGGGUCCAAGCAGGGAGAGAAGCCCUCAUCCAGCCAAUGCAGGAAGGCCUGCUGUCAUGCAAGGUAAUAUGAGUGAAACCUAUCAGGAGGCGGAUGAAGGGUACAAAUUGAUGGACGAGGCCAGAGGUGGCCAAAGGUUGCCUAGAAGUGAUGGUUUCCAACCCAAACCGCCCUUACCUCACGAGUACAAUCAGCAUGCUGAGCAGUCUGCAGCCCAGUGCCCGGACAUUUUAAAGAGGGACCCAGCAGUGAAUGCCUCCCCUCGCUCCAUGUCGUCUCAUCCCUCUGGAUCCCCGGCGGCCGUUUCGACGUCUCCUUUGGGAAAAGCGUCAACACCUCCUCGGCUCUCUAUGGUUCCUGUGGUCUCUUCCGUGUCAGCCCCGGGACCAGCCACCGAUCCAUCCCACGCUGUGGUGUCGACUCCGCCACGAGUCGCAACGCCCCCGAGUUUGGCAUCUCUACACUCUGUAGCCGGGUCUCCGAAACUUUCUUCCCCUCCUCUAAUGGUGCAGGGCCUAAGGCCUCCCUCUGGUUGUGGUUCCCUGCUUGAUUCGGCUGGAUCUCCCCACAGGACAUUGGGAUCUCCUUCCCGCGUGCCUGCUCUACCUUCCAAUUUACCUGCACUGCCACCAUUGCUGGAUACUGCCCCCAGGCUGCCAGUAGUUCCAUCAGCUCCGUUAGUCCCUGCUCCGGCCUUGGUGUCUAAUUCUGAGGGGAGGAAGAUGUUGUUUCCCCGCAUGACCUCUUCCCCGUACACCACAAGUCACGCAACCACAACAGCACUUGCCCCUUCCUACUCGGGUUCGGCGCCCAUUUCUGCGCUCCAGCAGAUGGUCGAUGGGUCAAGGUCCCUUCCAGUGACAUCGCGCUUCCCAGAUCCAUCAAAAGCGCCACCGGAAGUGUCAGGACCUUUGACAAAAAAUGGCUCAUCUCCUGCACCACCUAAACCUCGCUCUUUGGUAUCUACACCUCCAAGAUUAGUGCCCGCUUUUCCCUCUGCUGACGACAAGUCGGUGCCCACACUCCAGCUUCAGACGUCACUGUCUCCUACGACCGAAUCUGCUCAUACUACUGCUCCAGCAACCACAUUAUCUCCAGCACAAGUGGACGCAGAACGGCUGGCACCCUCAGUCCAAGGUCCUGCAUCCCAGCCCUUGUAUUCCCUACCUCCUUCAACCACUCAAGCCUCCAGAACCUUUGUGUCUGCUCCCCCCCCCUUGGUGUCUUCGACUACUUCAGCAGCCGCUGCCUCUCCCUUGGCCCAAGCCAGUGCUGUGACGAAAGCCUCAUCCAACAACAUCCCUUCUCCACAAGCUCCCAAACCGCGUCCUCCAAAAACGGAGGAAGAGGAUGGUGACGGUAGGGAUGGGAUCGGAGCAAGGCCCCCGCAGCGCGACACCGCUGCGGCCAACGACCGCAGCGCGGCCGACGAAGGGUCUUGUGACGACGCCUCUCAAUCUGAGGACGAGUCGCUGCUCCACAGCACCUCCAGAGUGGACCUCUCCAGCUCAGGGAUGGAGGACACGUCUCAGAUGGACGGCGACGGCUCACACGUGAACGAGUCCACUCGCAUGGACGACAGCUCAUUCAUGGCGGAAGAAGCGUCUCAGUUCGACCGGACCUCUCACUCGGAGGAGGAGCCCUCUGGGGUGGCCGACUCGACCCUGGAUAGCCAAGCUUCCUCCUCCUCGGAGGAGGAGGAGUUUGAGGAUAGCCGGGCAGAAGAGAGCUCUCAAGCAGACGAGACCAAGGGCAGCGUUGUGAGCACCAGGGAUGCUACGCUGGACUCCUCCCUGAACAGCACCUCUCAGCUCGAGGAAUCCAACGUUGACUCUCUGCAGAUGGAGCUGUCCAACGUGGACUCGUCGCAGAUCAAUACCUCUGUCGCAGACUCAACCGGACCACUUCACACAUCAACUCAAGAAUCUGAAGAUGAGGCGGCCAAUGCAUGUGACCUACCUGACUCUGCUGGACCUAUUGGUGAUAAAGCCGCUGUUACUGAGGCAACGCCUGGCCCUGCUUCAAAGAUAAUGGAAGAGGAGAUCACGGCCCUGAUGGAGGCCCCUGACCCACCUCGGGUCCCGCCCCUCACCAUCAAAACAUCCCCUGCCUCCGGGAGGCCGGUUAAAACACCAGGGAAACCCCGGAAACCCCGGACUCCCAAGGCCUCCACUCCAGCGGCCGCCCCAGCGGAGAAGGCCCCGCGUAAGCCCCGGGCCAGAACGCCGAAGGUGGAGAAGAUCAAGAAACCCAAGGGGGCGGAGGCCAAAGCAGACGAGGGAGCCAAGGUGAAGGGCGCGGGCCGGAAGAGGAAGAAGCCCCUCAAGGAGGAGGCAAAGGACGCGUCGGACGUCUCCCAAACGGCGGGGCCUCCCACAGGAGAGUUGGACCCCAUUUCGGCCAUCAUCGAGGCCGUGCUCGCCAGGGCUUCAGAAGCCAGCUCUGCCGACGAGACCCUGAAGAAGCCGAAGAAGGCGAAGAAACAAGGUCAGGAAGGAAGUGCGGCCAAGGUGCCCAAACUCCAGGCCGACGCCGCAGAGGAGGAAGUGGAAAACGAUGCAGAUGACAGCUCCACUGCAGGAGAGUCCAAUAGACGGAGGGUCGCAACUGAGGAGCAGGUGCAGUUCCCUCUGUUGCACGGAUGGAGGAGGGAGAUCCGUGUGAAGAAGACCGAGAGCCGGAUGAAAGGGGAAACCUGGUACUACACUCCCUGUGGCCGAAGGAUGAAGCAGUUCCCGGAAAUCAUCAAAUACUUGAAAAGGCACCAGGAUAGCGUGGUCUCCAGGGAACACUUCAGCUUCAGCCCCCGCAUGCCCAUAGGAGACUUCUACGAAGAGAGGGAAACACCCGAGGGCAAGACGUGGGUGCUGCUGGCGAACGAGGAAGUUCCUUCCAUCAUCAUGGCGAUCACCGGCCGCCGCGGCCGACCGCCCAACCCGGACAAGGAGAAGCCCCGCAGGGUCCGAGCCCCGAAGGGGGGGCAAGUGCGGCGCCCUGGCAGACCCCCCAAACCCAAGAUGGUGGACCUGCUCAGCAAAGUGGACGCCAAGCUGUUGAAACGCCUGGAGGCCAAAGAAGCAAUUACGGAGGAGGAUAAAGAGAAAAUCGCAAAAAUCAAGAAGAAAAUGAAGAGAAAGGCGAGGAUGAAAAGAAAGGAGGAUAACAAGAAUAAGAAGAUCCGAGACGAGAAGAAGAAAGCAAAGCUGGAGAAGGAGCAGGUGGUGAGUGACCAAGCAGCCGCCGCUGAACCAACCGACGGCGUCGCCCCGCCAGCCGACUCGACGAAAACCCACGAGUCUCAGCAGGAGCCCAAGAAGACCAGAAAGAAGAGGACCAAGGCCGUGGCCCCGGCUCCCGUGCAGCAGACGGACGAGGAGAGGAUCGCCCAGGGCAAGAGGGUGCUGGGGGCCCGCAGCAAGGCCAAGGCCCUGGCCAAGGCCCAGGCGGAGGCGGAGGCCGCAGCCCAGGCCGCCCUGACGGCCAAGCGGGCCGCAGAGAGGCGGGCGGCGGCCCAGAGACGACUGGAGGAGAGGAAGAGGCAGCAGACCAUCUCUGACGAGCUGAAGAAGCCCACAGAGGACAUGUGCCUCACCGACCACAAGCCUCUCCCUGAGCUCUCUCGCAUCCCCGGGGUGGUGCUCUCGGGCGCCGCCUUCGCUCACUGCCUGACGGUGGUGGAGUUCCUGCAUGGCUACGGCAAGGUGAUAGGCCUCAACAUUCCCAAGGACAUUCCCAGCCUGGCCACCCUCCAGGAAGGCCUGCUGGGGCUGGGCGAGGGGCAAGGCGAGGUCCAGGAUCUGGUGCUGAAGCUGCUGGAGGCGGCCUUGCACGACCCCGGCCUGUCCUCCUAUUACCAGUCGGUGAAGAUCCUCGGGGACAAGCUGGCGGACCUAGAGCUGACCCGCAGCACCGUGUCGGAGCCCCUGCGGCUCUUCCUGGAGUCCCACGGCUACGACCUGGAGGUGUGUGACACGCUGAGGACCAAGACGUUCCACGCCCUGGCGCCCGACACCAAGGCCUCCAUCCUGGGCUUCCUGGUGGAGGAGCUGAACGGCAGCAACAUCGUCAUCAGUGACAUCGACAACACCCUGGAGAACAUGGCCACCUACAGGAAGAACAAGUGGAUCAUCGAGGGGAAGUUGCGAAAGCUGAAGUCGGCCCUGGCCCGGCGUACGGGCCGCUCGGAGGAGGACCUGGGCCUGGAGGAGAGGCGGCGCAGCACCCGGAUGGCGGAGGACGAGGCCACGGAGGACGGCGGCCUGCUGCAGGACCGGGCCAGCCGCCGCGCACGCAAGGAGGAGCCCAAGCUGAGCGACAGCGAGAGCCCGACAAACGCCAGCAUUCCAGAGCUCGAAAGGCAGAUCGAUAAGCUCACCAAGCGCCAGCAGCUCUUCCGGAAGAAGCUGUUGCAGUCGUCCCAUUCCAUGCGGGCCGUCUCUCUGGGACAGGACCGCUUCCGCCGCCGGUACCUGGCGCUGCCGCACCUCGGGGCCAUCCUGGUGGAGGGGCCCGAGGAGCUCCUGUCAUCCGAGGAGGUCCUCGUGGCCGAGGUGCCCGUCACUCUGCUGAAGAGGGAGCCCAAGGUGGAGGAGACCCCCACGCCUACCUCUCCCCCCGCCGCCGCCUCCCCUACGGCCACUCCCAGCGUCAAGCCGCCUACCUCCUCGCCGGACGAGACCCUGGACGACGACGGGCUCCCGGGCACGGCGUCCCUCAUGAGCCAGCCCCGGGGCCGCGGCCGGCCCCGCAAGAUCAAGCCGGAGGUGGAGCUGCACCUGCGCACCGCCAAGAUCCGCCGGCGCCGGCGGAGCAGCGCCCGCUCGGGCGGCGAGGACGGGCCCGGCUCGCCGGCCGGCGCCGGCAGGGACCUCGCGCACACGGCCUUCAAGAGCUCGCUCACGCAGGAGCCGUACGCCAACGGCACGGCGAUGGGGGACGCGCCCGGCGGCCAGCGGCCCGAGGACGGCGUGAAGGAGACGGCCGAGAGGCGGGGCCAGUGGUUCAACCUGCUGCCCAAAGAGCCGUGCGACUCCAGCUCUCUGACGGAGCCCCAGGGGCCCGCCUCGCCCAGCACGCCCCGGGUCCCCGUCUGCACGCUGCCGGCCGAGCUCGCCGCCUCCCUGCUGCAGUCGGAAUCGGCCCUCCCGGGUCAAAGUCCCACCGAGGCGGUGACCACCCCACAGGGCGGCCUCGCCGAUCCCCUCGUCCCUUCUGCCGCCGAUCCCGCUACCACUCCUCCCGCCCCUGCGCCUCCCCUUCUCUCCUCUCCCGCUCUAGACCCCACCCCCACGGCCACCCCCGCGACCCCCACCACGCCCUCCCGGCCCGUCCGCCGGCGCCGGAGGGGCAGCCGAGGGAGCAGCCCCGCCCGGAGAGGGGCGCGCAACGCGGCCGCCAAGCGCCGCGGCCGCCCGCCCAACACGGUGUUCCAGGAGCUGGAGCAGCAGUACUUCACCCAGAUGGUGGUCAAGCCCAUCCCCAAGGUGAUGGUGCGUGGCUGGUGGGUGAUCCGGGACGCAGAGGAGCUGCAGGCCACCCUGCGUGCCCUUAACCCCAGGGGCAUCCGGGAGAAGGUGCUCCACAAGCACCUGGCCAAGCACAUGGAGAACCUGAGCCUGAUGUGCACCAAGGCUGUCGCUGACCCCAUAUUCCAGGUGAAGACUGAGGAAGGCGGGUCCCUGAUGGAGGCUCUACAGAAGCCGUGGCAGGUGCAGGAGAGGAUGCUGGAGGUGGACGUCAACGCCCUCCAGUGGGUGGAGGAGCUGGAGCAGAGAGUGAUCACCGCAGACCUACAUCUCAAGGUGGCUCCUCAGAGCGUCCUGAAAGCAGAGUCUUCAGAGGUCGUGGACCCGGACGCACCAGUGGCAGAAUUCCAGGCCUACACGGCGCCCGAGCCGGACUCGACGCGGGACGACCUGCAGUACUACGAGCACGAGGUGGACCCGCGCGACGACUGGACGGUGCGCACCAAGAAGGAGUGGUCGGACCUGCCGCGCGUGGCCACGCACGCCCUGGACCUGGCCGUGCUGCGGCUGGCCAACCUGGAGCGCAACAUCGAGCGGCGCUACCUCAAGGAGCCGCUGUGGAACACGGCCGAGGUGAUGCGGCUGGCCCCCGUCACCACCACGCCCGGGGAGGCCCCGCCCAUGGACGUCAUGAGCCUGGAGAGUGAGAUCACCCCCCGCCUGCGGACCUGGAGGCAGGCUCUGGACCGCUGCCGCAGCGCCCCCCAGCUGUGCCUCUGCAUACUGCAGCUGGAGAAGGCCAUCGCCUGGGAGAGAUCGGUGGUCAAACUGAACUGCCAGGUGUGCAGGAAGGGGGACAACGAUGAGUACCUGCUUCUGUGCGACGGCUGUGACCGCGGCUGCCACAUGUACUGCCUCCGGCCCAAGGUCACGCAGGUGCCCGAAGGAGACUGGUUCUGUCCCACCUGCACUGCUAAGGAGGACGGUGAGUCACCGGGGAGCCAGCGCUCGGCCAAGAAGCGCACCCGGCUGAAGAAGAGGCGGUACGAGGACGACAGCUCGGACGAGGAGACGGCGCCGCGCCGCCUCGUCGGCAUGGCGACCAGGCACAAGGACACGCCGCCGUCUGCGCCCUCCUCCUCCUCCCGUUACUGCGGCGACGCCGCCGCCGCCGCCACAGCUGGGAUCUCGCCAGCCAAGCGUCGCCGAAUGACCACCCGUAAUCAGCCGGACCUGACCUACUGCGAGAUCAUCCUGAUGGAGAUGGAGGCCCACGCCAGCGCCUGGCCCUUCCUGGAGCCCGUCAACCCCCGCCUGGUGCCCGGCUACCGCCGCAUCGUCAAGACCCCCAUGGACUUCCUCACCAUGCGGGAGAGGCUGCUGCAGGGAGGGUACUGUAACUGCGAGGAGUUUGCGGCGGACGCCCAGCUGGUGUUCAACAACUGCCAGCUGUUCAACGAGGACACGUCGGAGGUGGGCGUGGCCGGGCACGCCAUGCGCAUCUUCUUCGAGAACCGCUGGGCCGAGUUCUACGACAACAAGGACAAAUGAGAGCCCUGAGAGAGACUGUCUGGAGGCCGGCCCAGCGCACACCUGUAUCCCCGUGUCCAUAGACGGCGACGGCCGCCUGUACCUCGGCCCCGCGUCCCUUCCUCUCACGGCCAGGGGUCUGUCCCCGCCAGGGGGCCCCGGCCCAGCUCGGCUCUCAGGACUCGGUCAGGGGUGGACCACACUGCUGCAGCCUCGUGCGCUGCGCAGCGGACCUGCUGUGCUGCACCCCUCGACCUGAACACAGCUUGGACAAAAUCAAGAAAACAAAAAAAAUGACCUUUCUGACCUGGUGUUCACCCCCCCCCCCCCCCCCCCAUACCUGUUUCUUAAUGGUAAUGUAAUGUGGUCUCAUGCCUAGAAGUACCUUUUUGUUUGCUCAAUAUAUUUUUUAUUAUAUAUUCUAUAUAUAUAUAUAAAAAUAUCAAUAGCUGGGAUUAUUUAAUAGCAAUAGCGUGUAGUGGUUGUGUACUGACUACAUUAUAGAGAUGUCUAGAUGGUUGACAGAAGGCCAGUUAAACAAACGGGGAAACAAGGAACGUUGUUUCUAAAGCCGUCACAUCGUAGUUGGGCAAAUAACCUCCAGUUCGAGACACACACACACACACACACACAUACACAUACACACACACACACACACCCUGCUGCUGUGUGUAGGACACUGGUUUCUAACAACUGGAGUAUUUAGUGUGUGUCUAUCGGUUAGGCGUCUAAUCUUGUGUUUGGAUGUGUCCCUCCUGAGGAGCACAUAAUUGCUGUGAGUUUGGUGUUAGCAGGAUAGAUUCGCCCUCACAGGCCAACCUGAAUGGGACUGCAAAGAGUUGAACCUGUCUCCAUAUGCGAUGUGUAGAAUGUACAUAGAAAUGAGGGGGCCCAUAGGCCUCGACGCAAGUUUGCCCUAAGCAUCUUCAGUCGAGACACGAGAGCGAACCAGGCUUUGCUCAGAUCAUACCGGACCAACACUGAAAACAAACUUCCAGCCCUCCCUCCUUCCCAAUUCACCAAGGUUUGUUCCUCCAGACCAAAUUCAACAUGGCCGAAGGGUAGGAGCACGGUGUGUUUGAGUGCACCUUCCAUAACAUAGCAACGUGGGCUGAGCACACUGAAGUCCCACAAGUUCAAAGCCUGUGCUGUUUUAAUUUACAUUCCGAGUUCUGUUUUUUAAUCCACUAUAGUUUUGUUUGUACCUUUUGUCUUCUUUGACGCUUCCGAAGGGCCAAUGUACAUGUUGCACGGCAUGGUGUUUGUUCUGAAGGCGACAGGACACGUCUCCUCAACCCGGGUUAUAUUUAAGCUAGUUUCUUACACUGAACUCAAAUAGGUUAAUAGGAAGUACAUUUGUUGUUCCUUAUUACACUUAAAGGGACACCUGUUUUUCAUAAAAAUACGCAGAAAAAAAAUUAAAUAAAAACCAAACGUGGUGUUAAGUGAAUUUUUAAUAAUGUACAGUUUUGGUGACUUUAAAUUUGUUCCUUUCUAUAUUUUUAGGACCAAUUUAUCAUUUUUAAGAGGAGGUAUUAUAAGACUAUGUUGUAUCAAGGUGAUGUAACGAGUGUGCAUCUGUAGAAUGUACUGUGAGUUGAAUAAAAACCACGACUAGUA
Molecule: RNA transcript, 9751 nt
Organism: Gadus macrocephalus (Pacific cod)
Lineage: Eukaryota; Metazoa; Chordata; Actinopteri; Gadiformes; Gadidae
Gene: baz2a
Gene name: bromodomain adjacent to zinc finger domain, 2A
Exons: 31
Source: RefSeq, a predicted model, not a curated record